This 483-nucleotide ribosomal RNA is filed under the name uncultured bacterium. RNAcentral describes it as "partial 16S ribosomal RNA". It matches the Rfam family "Bacterial small subunit ribosomal RNA", at positions 46 to 523 of the family's 1533-position model. The record is from RNAcentral.
GCUUAACACAUGCAAGUCGAGCGAGAAUCGUUUUGCUGAAGGCUUCGGUCUGACGCAGAAUGAGGAAAGCGGCGAACGGGUGAGUAACGCGUGGGCAACCUGGCCUUAAGAAGAGGAUAGCCCCCGGAUACGGGGAGUAAGACUUUAUGAGAAUGAAAGAGGGCAUCCUACUUUCAUUCAACGCGCAAGCGCUUAAGGAUGGGCCCGCGUAUCAUUAGCUAGUUGGUAAGAUAACAGCCGACCAAGGCAACGAUGAUUAGCCGGUCUGAGAGGGCGAACGGCCACAUUGGAACUGGGAGACGGUCCAAACUCCUACGGGAGGCAGCAGUGGGGAAUAUUGCGCAAUGGAGAAGAACUCUGACGCAGCAAUACCGCGGGAGCGAAGAAGGUCUUCGGAUCGUAAAGCUCUGUUAUCAGGGAAGAAGAAAAUGACGGUACCUGAUGAGCAAGUCCCGGCUAACUACGUGCCAGCCGCCGCCGUAA